Molecule: non-coding RNA, 227 nt
Organism: Pelobates cultripes (western spadefoot toad)
Lineage: Eukaryota; Metazoa; Chordata; Amphibia; Anura; Pelobatidae
Source: the annotation of a GenBank genome assembly
GGUGCUAGACUGUGUAACAACUUGUUAUGUAAUAUGAAUUUAAACAAAACGAUGAAACAUAUAGCAAGCAGUAUCAUCAUUAUACCUAAUAUACAGCCCGGGAUCGAUGAAAUUGACAGAGAAUUCAUUAUGGAGAAAUGCAUUUUGCAAGGUUACUUUGCACAAUAAAAUACAUUUAGAUUAUUUUGUUUCAGGGGUAACAGGUCUAAACCACAUACCUGUUAUUU